ACGCAACGCGAAGAACUACCAGGCCUUGACAUACUCGGCAAAGCUCUAGAGAUAGAGUGGAGGUUAUCCGGGAUACAGGUGGUGCAUGGUUGUCGUCAGCUCGUGUCGUGAGAUGUUGGUUAAGUCCGCAACGAGCGCAACCCUUGUCUUUAGUUACCAUCAUUCAGUUGGGGACUCUAGAGAGACUGCCGGUGAUAAACCGGAGGAAGUGGGGAUGACGUCAAAUCAUCAUGCCCCUUAUGGCCUGGGCUACAAACGUAAUACAAUGGCGUAUACAAAGGGAUGCGAAAGGGCGACCUGGAGCAAAACUCACAAAGUACGUCUCAGUUCAGAUUGGAGUCUGCAACUCGACUCCAUGAAGGCGGAAUCGCUAGUAAUCGCGGAUCAGCAUGCCGCGGUGAAUACGUUCUCGGGGUUU
Molecule: ribosomal RNA, 418 nt
Filed under: uncultured Erysipelothrix sp.
Lineage: Bacteria; Bacillati; Bacillota; Erysipelotrichia; Erysipelotrichales; Erysipelotrichaceae
Description: bacterial SSU rRNA
Rfam family: Bacterial small subunit ribosomal RNA
Source: RNAcentral